UGAAUACGAGACGCUACGGCGUCGAAGUAGUGUAUGUCAUACUUCCAAGAAAAGCUCGCACUGUCAUAGGUAAAAAAUGCCUGUACCAUAACCGACACAGGUGGGUAGGUAGAGUAUACUAAGGGGCGCGAGAUAACUCUCUCUAAGGAACUCGGCAAAAUGACUCCGUAACUUCGGGAGAAGGAGUGCCUUAUUUAUAAGGUUGCAAUAACAAGAUCCAAGCAACUGUUUACCAAAAACACAGGUCUCCGCUAAGUCGUAAGACGAUGUAUGGGGGCUGACGCCUGCCCAGUGCCAGAAGGUUAAAGAAGUUGGUUAGCAUUAGCGAAGCUGAUAACUGAAGCCCUGGUGAACGGCGGCCGUAACUAUAACGGUCCUAAGGUAGCGAAAUUCCUUGUCGGGUAAGUUCCGACCCGCACGAAAGGCGUAAUGAUUUGGAUACUGUCUCGGAGAGAGGCUCGGUGAAAUAGACUUGUCUGUGAAGAUGCGGACUACCUGCACCUGGACAGAAAGACCCUAUGAAGCUUUACUGUAACUUGAAAUUGAAAUUGGACUUUAGUCGCGCAGCAUAGGUGGGAGGCGUUGAGCAUGUUCUUGCGGGAACAUAGGAGCCAUCAGUGAGAUACCACUCUUCUAAUGUUAGAUUUCUAACCUUGUACCUUUAUCUGGUCAAGGAACAGUUUCAGGCGGGCAGUUUGACUGGGGCGGUCGCCUCCCAAAUGGUAACGGAGGCGUACAAAGGUUUCCUCUGAACGGAUAGAAAUCGUAUCUAGAGUAUAAAGGCAUAAGGAAGCUUGACUGUGAGACCUACAAGUCGAGCAGGGACGAAAGUCGGUCUUAGUGAUCUGACGGUACUGAGUGGAAAGGCCGUCACUCAACGGAUAAAAGUUACUCUAGGAUAACAGGCUGAUCUCCCCCAAGAGUUCACAUCGACGGGGAGGUUUGGCACCUCGAUGUCGGCUCAUCGCAUCCUGGGGCGGUAGUACGUCCCAAGGGUUGGGCUGUUCGCCCAUGAAAGCGGUACGCGAGCUGGGUUCAGAACGUCGUGAGACAGUUCGGUCCAUAUCCGGUGUAGGCGUUAGAAUAUUGAGAGGAGCCUUCUUUAGUACGAGAGGACCGAGAAGGACAUACCUCUGGUGUACCAGUUAUCGUGCCAACGGUAAACGCUGGGUAGCUACGUAUGGAGUGGAUAACCGCUGAAAGCAUCUAAGUGGGAAGCCCACCUCAAGAUGAGUAUUCUC
This 1241-nucleotide ribosomal RNA is filed under the name metagenome. RNAcentral describes it as "bacterial LSU rRNA". It matches the Rfam family "Bacterial large subunit ribosomal RNA", at positions 1564 to 2815 of the family's 2925-position model. The record is from RNAcentral.